UCCCGUUUAGCUCAGUUGGUAGAGCGCGUCACUAGUACCUCAGCCGCCUUGCGGCAAUACCGUGAUGACGAGGUCAGUCGUUCGAGUCGGCUAAUGGGAA
Non-coding RNA from Thelephora ganbajun, 100 nucleotides. Lineage: Eukaryota; Fungi; Basidiomycota; Agaricomycetes; Thelephorales; Thelephoraceae. The record is from the annotation of a GenBank genome assembly.